RNAcentral lists this ribosomal RNA (429 nucleotides) under Chloroflexota bacterium. RNAcentral's name for it is "Chloroflexi bacterium partial 16S ribosomal RNA". It matches the Rfam family "Bacterial small subunit ribosomal RNA", at positions 355 to 776 of the family's 1533-position model. Lineage: Bacteria; Bacillati; Chloroflexota. The record is from RNAcentral.
UGGGGAAUAUUGCACAAUGGGCGCAAGCCUGAUGCAGCCAUGCCGCGUGUAUGAAGAAGGCCUUCGGGUUGUAAAGUACUUUCAGUCGGGAGGAAGGUGGUAAGGUUAAUAAUCUUGGCAAUUGACGUUACCGACAGAAGAAGCACCGGCUAACUCCGUGCCAGCAGCCGCGGUAAUACGGAGGGUGCAAGCGUUAAUCGGAAUUACUGGGCGUAAAGCGCACGCAGGCGGUUGAUUGAGUCAGAUGUGAAAUCCCCGGGCUUAACCCGGGAAUUGCAUCUGAUACUGGUCAGCUAGAGUCUUGUAGAGGGGGGUAGAAUUCCAUGUGUAGCGGUGAAAUGCGUAGAGAUGUGGAGGAAUACCGGUGGCGAAGGCGGCCCCCUGGACAAAGACUGACGCUCAGGUGCGAAAGCGUGGGGAGCAAACAGG